GCUCCGGUAGUGUAGUGGUAACACACUCGUCCGUAGAUACAAUCCACUUCAGCCUGCGCGAGUGUGCGAAAAAUCCUGAUGAGAGGAUGGAGGUUCAAAUCCUUCCCGGAGCC
Non-coding RNA from Morchella snyderi, 113 nucleotides. The record is from the annotation of a GenBank genome assembly. Lineage: Eukaryota; Fungi; Ascomycota; Pezizomycetes; Pezizales; Morchellaceae.